CAGAUGCGAUAGUUUCGCCAGGCCGUAGGGUGCCGCCCUGAUGCGGAGCAGCUUUUAAAGAUCGAGAAGUAUUUCCAUACUCCACAAGACGUUCCGAUUACAACCCUAUACACAGUUAUUUUCCCCGAGA
Pectinophora gossypiella (pink bollworm) is the source of this 130-nucleotide long non-coding RNA. RefSeq lists it as uncharacterized. The transcript is spliced from 2 exons. Lineage: Eukaryota; Metazoa; Arthropoda; Insecta; Lepidoptera; Gelechiidae. The record is from RefSeq and is a predicted model, not a curated record.